Molecule: ribosomal RNA, 200 nt
Filed under: uncultured bacterium
Lineage: Bacteria
Description: partial 16S ribosomal RNA
Rfam family: Bacterial small subunit ribosomal RNA
Source: RNAcentral
UACAGAGGUGGCAAGCGUUGUUCGGAAUUACUGGGCGUAAAGGGCGCGUAGGCGGCCCUCUAAGUCAGACGUGAAAUCCCCCGGCUUAACCUGGGAACUGCGUCUGAUACUGGGGGGCUUGAGUUUGGGAGAGGGAUGUAGAAUUCCAGGUGUAGCGGUGAAAUGCGUAGAUAUCUGGAGGAAUACCGGUGGCGAAGGCG